Molecule: long non-coding RNA, 1264 nt
Filed under: Salmo salar (Atlantic salmon)
Lineage: Eukaryota; Metazoa; Chordata; Actinopteri; Salmoniformes; Salmonidae
Description: lncRNA (ENSSSAG00000090882.1)
Source: RNAcentral
CCAUAAGUCAAUCAAACAGGCAAAACAUCAGUACAGAGACAAAGUGGAGUCGCAAUUCAACAGCUCAGAUAUGAGACGUAUGUGGCAAGGUCUACAGACAAUCACGGACUACAAAGGGAAAACCAGCCACAUCGCGGACACAGACGUCUUGCUUCCUGACAAGCUAAACACCUUCUUCGCCCGCUUUGAGGAUAACACAGUGCCACCACACGGCCUGCUACCAAGGACUGUGGGCUCUCCUUCUCUGUGGCAGAUUCUGCUGUCCCCACUUGCUUCAAGAUGUCCACUAUUGUUCCUGUACCUAAGAAAGCAAAGGCCGGUGGUAGCUGGUCCGCUGCAGGACGCUGAGGUGCGGAGUUCCCUCCGCCCCCCCUGGACAUCGGGGGGGCUCCGGCGUACACAGUCCGGUCCAUCUUGGACUCCCGACGUCGGGUGGGGGGCCUGCAGUACCUCGUGGACUGGGAGGGGUAUGGCCCGGAGGAGAGGUGCUGGGUCCCGGUGGGGGACAUUCUGGAUCCAGCCCUGCUGCAGGAAUUCCACAGCCUCCGUCCGGAUCGCCCUGCGCCUCGCCCUACGGGUCGUCCCCGAGGCCGGCGUCGGCGCGCUGCGGGGGCCGGCGUCGGCGCGCUGCGGGAGCCGCGCGUCGGGGGGGGGGUACUGUCACAACGUCCACAGAAGGUGGCGCCUCUCCCCGGUCGGGCGGUGCUCGGCGGUCGUCGUCGCCGGCCUACUAGCUGCCACCGAUCCAUGUUUCUGUGUCUUUUGGUUAUGUCUGUUUAGUUCUGCACCUGUUUCUUGUUAGUCAUUAGUGGGGGUUAUUUAGUUUGUCUGUUUCGUUUGUGGAUUCGUGCGGGAUUGUUGCUUGUCAUGCUUUAUGUGGUAGUCAGGAGUCUCUUGUGUUCUGCUACGUCGCGUAUUUUGUUAGGCAUUAGGGUUGCCGGGCUGCUCCCUGUCUGUUUGGAUUUUGGAGCUGUCCUCCUGUCUAUUUUUUGACUGUGCACCCUGCCUUGUUGCGGCAUAUUUCUCUGUGAUUAUUAAACGUCUGUUCAACGGACCUAAGUCUCCUGCGCUUGACUCUACCCCUUUCCUGCUAUCUAAGGAUAUCGUGACACUGCCAGUUAGUUGACUUUUGAACGGUAGUGUAUAUAUAAAAAAAUCUUGCGUAUCUUAAUUUCCACAAUUCACAAAUAAUAUGCGUAAUAAUGUAUACAGUUCAUGCAAAUGUUUUACCUAUAACCAGUAUUGCCAUUACAAAGAUUAUGUU